RNAcentral lists this long non-coding RNA (351 nucleotides) under Phoenix dactylifera (date palm). RNAcentral's name for it is "long non-coding RNA (PDAC_LNC011749)". The record is from RNAcentral. Lineage: Eukaryota; Viridiplantae; Streptophyta; Magnoliopsida; Arecales; Arecaceae.
AUAUGCAGCGGAAAGACAUGUGCAUAUCCCGUUCAUCGCAUGAACGUAUUUUAAAACCAUUUAUAGAUAGAUUAGGAUUAAAUUCUUAUUAAAUCAUUUUAAAAUCAUGAUUAAGAAGAUCAGAUCUUCACCUUGUGCGGGUAGAUGGUCUCCGCAAAUCUGAUUCACGUGGUAUUUGAUGAGGGUUCAGUGGAAGCCGCACACGCGUCCGGCCUCUACGGGUAUCCACACGAAGUAGUGAGUCGAUCGAAGCCUUUGGAUCUCCCCGAGGUGCUAGCUCCCUUGCAGAGAAGGCUAUUGAUGGCUGAUAUCCUUCCUAUCAAUCAACUCUUGAAUGCCUAAGGGAGGAGG